CCUACGGGAGGCAGCAGUAGGGAAUAUUGCUCAAUGGGGGAAACUCUGAAGCAGCAACGCCGCGUGGAGGAUGAAGGUUUUCGGAUUGUAAACUCCUUUUGUUAGAGACGAUAAUGACGGUAUCUAACGAAUAAGCACCGGCUAACUCCGUGCCAGCAGCCGCGGUAAUACGGAGGGUGCAAGCGUUACUCGGAAUCACAGGGCGUAAAGAGCGCGUAGGCGGGAUAGCAAGUCAGAUGUGAAAUCCUAUGGCUUAACCAUAGAACUGCAUUUGAAACUGUUAUUCUAGAGUAUGGGAGAGGUAGGUGGAAUUCUUGGUGUAGGGGUAAAAUCCGUAGAGAUCAAGAGGAAUACUCAUUGCGAAGGCGACCUGCUAGAACAUAACUGACGCUGAUGCGCGAAAGCGUGGGGAGCAAACAGGAUUAGAUACCCUAGUAGUC
RNAcentral lists this ribosomal RNA (440 nucleotides) under uncultured bacterium. RNAcentral describes it as "partial 16S ribosomal RNA". It matches the Rfam family "Bacterial small subunit ribosomal RNA", at positions 338 to 795 of the family's 1533-position model. The record is from RNAcentral.